UGUAUGGUUAAGUGACUAAGCGUACACGGUGGAUGCCUGGGCAGUCAGAGGCGAUGAAGGACGUACUAACUUGCGAUAAGCGCAGAUAAGGCAGUAAGAGCCGUUUGAGUCUGCGAUUUCCGAAUGGGGAAACCCAACUGCAUAAGCAGUUACUGUUAACUGAAUACAUAGGUUAACAGAGCAAACCGGGGGAACUGAAACAUCUAAGUACCCCGAGGAGAAGAAAUCAACCGAGAUUCCGGUAGUAGCGGCGAGCGAACCUGGAUUAGCCCUUAAGCACUCGGUGAAGUAGGUGAACAAGCUGGAAAGCUUGGCGAUACAGGGUGAUAGCCCCGUAACCGACGCUUCAUCGAGCGUGAAAUCGAGUAGGGCGGGACACGUGAUAUCCUGUCUGAAUAUGGGGGGACCAUC
This 411-nucleotide ribosomal RNA is filed under the name Vibrio cholerae. RNAcentral's name for it is "partial 23S ribosomal RNA". It matches the Rfam family "Bacterial large subunit ribosomal RNA", at positions 1 to 457 of the family's 2925-position model. Lineage: Bacteria; Pseudomonadati; Pseudomonadota; Gammaproteobacteria; Vibrionales; Vibrionaceae. The record is from RNAcentral.